Molecule: unclassified non-coding RNA, 462 nt
Filed under: Bombus terrestris (buff-tailed bumblebee)
Lineage: Eukaryota; Metazoa; Arthropoda; Insecta; Hymenoptera; Apidae
Description: misc RNA ENSBTSG00005032012.1
Source: RNAcentral
UGUAAUAUGGUUGCAUUUAUUGGGGUUUGCUUUUAUUUGUUUUUCUUGUAGCCACUUUUCUAUUUUUGUGAUAUGUUCUUGUAGUAAUUUGACUGCCGUUUCUGGGUUCGUAUGCCUGACUAGUAUAAUUGUGUCGUCCGCGAAUGUCAGUACUGUACUAUUGGUAGUUGUUGGUAUGUUCGCCGUGUAUAAUGUGUAUAGUAUUGGGCCUAGGACGCUUCCUUGUGGUACCCCUGCCUUGAUGUCUUUAACUUCAGAAUGUGUGUCCUUGAUUUUUGUUACGAAGGUUCUGGUGCUUAGAUAACACAUGGGCAAGAAGCGACGAAGAACAAGCUGAAGAAUUCUCCAAUCAUCUUUCACACCACACAUUAUCAACAACAGCGACCUCAAAAGUCAUACGGAGGAGGAUGCACAAACCACUAUUAUCACAACUGACAAGGAAUACAUCAUAUCUAAAACAAC